UACGGGAGGCAGCAGUGGGGAAUAUUGCACAAUGGGCGAAAGCCUGAUGCAGCUAUGCCGCGUGUAUGAAGAAGGCCUUAGGGUUGUAAAGUACUUUCAUCGGGGAGGAAAAACAAAACUAAUAAUUUUAUUUCUUGACGUUACCCGAAAAAGAAGCACCGGCUAACUCCGUGCCAGCAGCCGCGGUAAUACGGAGGGUGCUAGCGUUAAUCAGAAUUACUGGGCGUAAAGAGCACGUAGGUGGUUUUUUUAAAGUCAGAUGUGAAAUCCCUGGGCUUAACCUAGGAACUGCAUUUUGAAACUGAAAUACUAGAGUAUCGUAGAGGGAGGUAGAAUUCUAGGUGUAGCGGUGAAAUGCGUAGAUAUCUGGAGGAUACCUGUGGCGAAAGCGGCCUCCUAAACGAAUACUGACACUGAGGUGCGAAAGCGUGGGGAGCAAACAGGGAUUAGAUACC
Molecule: ribosomal RNA, 455 nt
Filed under: uncultured bacterium
Lineage: Bacteria
Description: bacterial SSU rRNA
Rfam family: Bacterial small subunit ribosomal RNA
Source: RNAcentral